CCCUUAGAUGUUCUGGGCAGCACGCGCGCUACAAUGGUCUUCGCAAACGGAUGCAUUCUCGAAGGAGAAUGCCAAUCUUGGAAUCUAUGCCUUGGUCGGGACAGUUGCUUGCAAUUUUUCGACUCGAACCAGGAAUUCCUUGUAAUCGUGAUUCAUCACAUCACGAUGAAUACGUCCCUGCCCUUUGUACACACCGCCCGUCGCUCCUACCGAUCGAAGAGUUAGGUGAAUUGUUUUGAUCGAUAAGAUUUGACUAUGGUCAACUCUCGUUGUGAAAUUCUGUGAAUCUGACUGUUUAGAGGAAGGAAAAGUCGUACA
RNAcentral lists this ribosomal RNA (318 nucleotides) under uncultured eukaryote. Its description in RNAcentral is "partial 18S ribosomal RNA". It matches the Rfam family "Eukaryotic small subunit ribosomal RNA", at positions 1470 to 1796 of the family's 1831-position model. The record is from RNAcentral.